GGGGCGGUAGCUCAGUUGGUAGAGCGCAUCGUUCGCAAUGAUGAGGUCGCGUGUUCGACUCACGUCCGCUCCA
This 73-nucleotide transfer RNA is filed under the name Phycisphaera sp. RNAcentral's name for it is "tRNA-Ala". It matches the Rfam family "tRNA". From Rfam's summary of the family: Transfer RNA (tRNA) molecules are approximately 80 nucleotides in length. The record is from RNAcentral. RNAcentral also lists the same sequence under 2 other names. Lineage: Bacteria; Pseudomonadati; Planctomycetota; Phycisphaerae; Phycisphaerales; Phycisphaeraceae.